Molecule: ribosomal RNA, 2081 nt
Filed under: Acerimina pyrrosiae
Lineage: Eukaryota; Metazoa; Arthropoda; Arachnida; Trombidiformes; Eriophyidae
Description: partial small subunit ribosomal RNA
Rfam family: Eukaryotic small subunit ribosomal RNA
Source: RNAcentral
AAGGCUAGCGUUUAUUAGACUAAGACCGAUGUUUGUUGUAAAAGGCAAUCUAUUUAAGGUGGUGACUCUGAAUAAAUAAUGGGUGAAAGCCCAUGAUGCGGACCCUUGUAAAAGUCGCUUCAUUCGUGUUGUGAUAAGGGCAAAUCAUUCGAGUGUCUGCUCUAUCAACUGUGGAUGGUAGGAUAUAUGCCUACCAUGGUGGUAACGGGUAACGGGGAGUUAGGGCUCGACUCCGGAGAACAAGCCUGAGAAACGGCUAGUAGGACUAAGGUCUGCAGCAGGCGCGAAACUUACACAAUGGGAGCACAUCCCUGAUGUAGUGAAGGAAAAUAACGAUGUAUCUCUCAUUACUGAGUGAUACAAUUGGAAUGAGACGACUGUAAAUAUGUUAGUCGAGUAACAAAUGGAGGGCAAGUCUGGUGCCAGCAGCCGCGGUAAUUCCAGCUCCAUUAGCGUAUAUUAAAGUUGUUGCGGUUAAAAAGCUCGUAGUUGAAGUUAGCUUGGUUUUAGUAAGUGGUGAGUCGAUGAAGGGUGCUUGCUGGUAGUUUUAGUUGAUCCAACGAUAUACGUCCGGCAUCACCUGACUCAUCAACUUAUUCAAAGCCAAUGUUUCGUCACUUUAUCCGAGUGCGAAGCGUGUUGUUAUAUACAAAUUGAUAUUUAUUAUCAAGAAUAUGGCAACAAGUUUACCUUGAGAAAAUUAGAGUGCUCACAGCAGGCAGUUGGGGUGUAAAAGCCCUUUAAUGCUUGAAUAAUGUUGCAUGGAAUAAUAGAAUACGGCCUCGGUUCUAUUCUGUUGGUCUUAUAGAACAACAAAAAGUUGGUAAUUGCAAUCAAGCUCUCUUUUGAUGCUGGUUUUGUGAGUGGUGGUUUACGAGUUAGUUAUGUUGCCUGAAUGAUCAAAAGUCCAGUGCCAUGCAAUCUAAAUCAUAUCACUUAUAUUACCAUUAAAGGUAUCAUAAGUAGACAAGCAACCACCAAUUGAGGCAAUGGUUAAAAGAAAUAGUCGCGGCGGCAUCAGUACUGCAUCGCUAGAGGUGAAAUUCUUAGACCGAUGCAAGACUAACUGAAGCGAAAGCGUUUGCCGAGGAUGUUUUCAUUAAUCAAGAACGAAAGUUAGAGGUUCGAAGGCGAUCAGAUACCGCCUAGUUCUAACCAUAAACGUUGCCAACUAGCAAUUGGCCUGAAUUCUAUUUCAACAAAUUGAAUGAUUCGGCCAGCGGCUCUAGGGAAACCAAAGUUUUUGGGUUCCGGGGGAAGUAUGAUUGCAAAGUUGAAACUUAAAGGAAUUGACGGAAGGGCACCACCAGGAGUGGAGCCUGCGGCUUAAUUUGACUCAACACGGGGAAACUUACUAGAUUAGAACACAGGAAUGAUUGACAGAUUGAUAGCUCUUUCUUGAUUCUGUGGGUGGUGGUGCAUGGCCGUUCUUGAUUCGUAGAUUGAUUCGUCUGCUUAAUUGCGAUAACGAGUGAGACCUCGCUUUACUAACUAGUCGCUAGGUGCAUCUUUGACGCAAAAGUUUGUCCUAUUUGGCUAUCGUUUGUUGGUAGCAAUACCGCGGACAAUAAUUGGAUAGGUUCGAAUGUCUUUGACUCGCCAGCGGACUUCUUAGAGAGAUAAACGGUGUUUUAGCCGUAAGAAAUGAGGCAAUAACAGGUCUGUGAUGCCCUUAGAUACUCUAGGCCGCACGCGUGCUACAAUGGUGUGCGCAGAAAGCUUAUUCGAUAUCCGGCUAAAGAGAACUGCCAGUUUUGGUGCUUGGUUAGAUUGAAAGAUUUGAUCAUGUGUCGGACAGGAAAGUGACUUUGGUGAUAAACGGGUAGAGAGAAACCUUGGCCGAAAGGUCAGGGCAAUCAAAAAUUCAUGCCGUGAUUUGGGAUUGGGGAUUGCAAUUAUUGUCCAUGAACGAGGAAUUCCCAGUAAGCGCAAUUCAUCAUAUUGCGUUGAUUACGUCCCUGCCCUUUGUACACACCGCCCGUCGCUACUACGAUUGGAAGUUUAGUGAGGCAUUUGGACCUGCUGCGUCAAGGUUUCGGCUCUCGUGUGCGGGAAAGUCUGUCGACUCAAAUUUCUAGAGA